GACGAACGCUGGCGGCGUGCUUAACACAUGCAAGUCGAACGGAAAGGCCUGCUUUCCCUUGUGGAUUGCGGGUACUCGAGUGGCGAACGGGUGAGUAACACGUGAGUGAUCUGCCCCCAACUUGGGUAUAAGCCUGGGAAACUGGGUCUAAUUCCCGAUAGGACUGCAGGGUGGUGCCUGUGGUGGAAAACGAUUUUCUAGUGGUUGGGGAUGAGCUCGCGGCCUAUCAGCUUGUUGGUGGGGUAAUGGCCUACCAAGGCGGCGACGGGUAGCCGGCCUGGGAGGGUGGACGGCCACAUGGGGACGGAGAUACGGCCCAGACUCCUACGGCAGGCAGCAGUGGGGAAUAUUGCACAAUGGGCGGAAGCCUGAUGCAGCGACGCCGCGUGGGGGAUGACGGCCUUCGGGUUGGAAACUCCUUUCGACCGCGAGGAAGCCACCUGGUUGGAAGGGUGGUGACGGUAGUUGUAGAAGAAGCACCGGCUAACUACGUG
Molecule: ribosomal RNA, 494 nt
Filed under: uncultured bacterium
Lineage: Bacteria
Description: partial 16S ribosomal RNA
Rfam family: Bacterial small subunit ribosomal RNA
Source: RNAcentral